AGAGUUUGAUUCUGGCUCAGAAUGAACGCUGGCGGCAUGGAUUAGGCAUGCAAGUCGAACGUACUCCCUUCGGGGAGAAAGUGGCGAAAGGGUGAGUAACACGUGAGCAACCUGCCUCCGGAUCCGGAAUAAUCCAGGGAAACUUGGUCUAAAACCGGAUGAAGACAUUGGUCCGCAUGGUCUAAUGUUAAAAUAUUUAUAGUCCGGAGAGGGGCUCGCGGCCCAUUAGCUGGUUGGCGGGGUAAUGGCCCACCAAGGCUACGACGGGUAGGUGGUCUGAGAGGAUGGUCACCCACACUGGGACUGAGACACUGCCCAGACUCCUACGGGAGGCUGCAGUCGAGAAUCUUCCGCAAUGGGCGCAAAGCCUGACGGAGCGAUGCCGCGUGAGGGAUGAAGGCCUUCGGGUUGUAAACCUCUGUCAUCCGGGACGAAAACAAUGACGGUACCGGAAAAGGAAGCCACGGCUAACCACGUGCCAGCAGCCGC
RNAcentral lists this ribosomal RNA (489 nucleotides) under uncultured bacterium. RNAcentral's name for it is "bacterial SSU rRNA". It matches the Rfam family "Bacterial small subunit ribosomal RNA", at positions 8 to 518 of the family's 1533-position model. The record is from RNAcentral.